UACAGUACUGUACUGUACAGUACAGUACAGUACAGUACUGAAGGUAAUGAAGCAAAGAAACUUUUGUACAGUACAGUACUGUACAGUACAGUACUGUACAGUACUGAAGGUAAUGAAGCAAAGAAACUUUUGUACAGUACAGUACUGUACUGUACAGUACAGUACAGUACUGAAGGUAAUGAAGCAAAGAAACUUUUGUACAGUACAGUACUGUACAGUAGUGUACUGUGCUGUACUGCCCUUAUUGUGGCCAUUUCCAAAUUUCCAAAAAGGAGGACAUUUUUUAAAUUAUUAUGACACUUAUUUUUAACCUAAAUUAAACAUGUUUAAAGAUGAGUUGAAAUAUAAAAAGUUGUAUAAAAUAUACUUAGUAGUGUUGAUUUGUCAAAUAUCACUAUAAUGUAAUGAAGACUACUUUGUGGUUUUUCUAAAAUUUCAAUUUUUUUAAAGGCACUGUAUAUGUUACAUACAUGAUACAUGCAUUCAUACAGUGUAAAUAAAGAACUGAAACAAA
Molecule: long non-coding RNA, 514 nt
Organism: Homarus americanus (American lobster)
Lineage: Eukaryota; Metazoa; Arthropoda; Malacostraca; Decapoda; Nephropidae
Exons: 2
Source: RefSeq, a predicted model, not a curated record